Long non-coding RNA from Cyprinus carpio (common carp), 1055 nucleotides. RefSeq lists it as uncharacterized. NCBI's taxonomy places the organism in Eukaryota, Metazoa, Chordata, Actinopteri, Cypriniformes, Cyprinidae. The record is from RefSeq and is a predicted model, not a curated record.
CUCUGCGGACCCGGUACCGGGUCCAAAAAUAGCAUGCAAAAUGUUCGUGUUUCAUUUGCAAAGCCUUCCUUAUAUGGUAUCAGCCCAUAUAUGGGUUCAUUUGAAAGUUUAGAGUGUUUUCUUUACAAAGAAUACCAUUAAUUGGGGUUUUAUGAUUCAUAAAGUAGUAAAAUUAAGCUAAGAAAUAUAUUUCCCCCCCACACACAUUUCCGUCUAACGAUUAGGAAUAUUUUUUCCAUAAGAAUGUGUAUUUAAAAUAUUUUUCACAAAACAGUCAAGUCAUAUAUCACAAGAAAGCUCUCAUUCUCAGGAAUCUGACGAUGUAGAUCAUUUUAUUGUGUGACAAUCACAGAUCGAAUGAUCUUCAACAGAAUCGCGAUGUAAAAUUUCUCACCUCAUUGCAAAUUAUUAUUUAUCCAUCUUAGCACCGCUUCAGUCACCCGCAAACAGCCACACAUACCUAUAUACUCGAUAUAAUCUUUUAGAUUAGAAUCUCUUCUUUCAAACAAGACCAUUUUUACGUUUCUGCGUGCUUCCAUUGGUGAGAUAUAAAGCGUUAUGUCCAGACGCGCUCAAAGAGAAAGACGCAGUUCUUUGAGACAGAAGCGCUCUUCAUGUCAUAAGACAAGCCUAAGCGGCUUUCUUCUGAUAUAUCGAUCGGAUCUCUUUUGUGAACCACUAUUUGUCCCUUCAGCUGUCAGUCUGAGCUGUGUGCUCCACUCAGAGCUGCUGAAUUUGACACCUCUGCGUCAACAGCGGGGGGAUGGAGUGGACAGUGAUGACCACAUCCUCCUCAGCCGGUGAAGCACUGGCUGAUGGGAUACUGAGUCCUCAAGUGUCCGUAAACAAAGAUCACACGCGGAAUAACUCGCGUCGCGGUGAUUAUCAAAUGUAUAAUAAUCAUACUACAAGUUAUGGAUGACCACCGUCGCCGUGGAGAGGACAGGACGCGCAUCUGGUCGUGUACAAGCUUCGGGCAGCGGAUAAGCGCUGAUAAUGCGUCAAAACAACAGAAGGGACGCUGGAAUAUGAAAUAUUACAGAUGAUUGAGACAG